RNAcentral lists this ribosomal RNA (1037 nucleotides) under uncultured Burkholderia sp. RNAcentral describes it as "bacterial SSU rRNA". It matches the Rfam family "Bacterial small subunit ribosomal RNA", at positions 355 to 1393 of the family's 1533-position model. The record is from RNAcentral. Lineage: Bacteria; Pseudomonadati; Pseudomonadota; Betaproteobacteria; Burkholderiales; Burkholderiaceae.
UGGGGAAUUUUGGACAAUGGGCGAAAGCCUGAUCCAGCAAUGCCGCGUGUGUGAAGAAGGCCUUCGGGUUGUAAAGCACUUUUGUCCGGAAAGAAAUCCUUGGCUCUAAUACAGUCGGGGGAUGACGGUACCGGAAGAAUAAGCACCGGCUAACUACGUGCCAGCAGCCGCGGUAAUACGUAGGGUGCGAGCGUUAAUCGGAAUUACUGGGCGUAAAGCGUGCGCAGGCGGUUUGCUAAGACCGAUGUGAAAUCCCCGGGCUCAACCUGGGAACUGCAUUGGUGACUGGCAGGCUAGAGUAUGGCAGAGGGGGGUAGAAUUCCACGUGUAGCAGUGAAAUGCGUAGAGAUGUGGAGGAAUACCGAUGGCGAAGGCAGCCCCCUGGGCCAAUACUGACGCUCAUGCACGAAAGCGUGGGGAGCAAACAGGAUUAGAUACCCUGGUAGUCCACGCCCUAAACGAUGUCAACUAGUUGUUGGGGAUUCAUUUCCUUAGUAACGUAGCUAACGCGUGAAGUUGACCGCCUGGGGAGUACGGUCGCAAGAUUAAAACUCAAAGGAAUUGACGGGGACCCGCACAAGCGGUGGAUGAUGUGGAUUAAUUCGAUGCAACGCGAAAAACCUUACCUACCCUUGACAUGGUCGGAAUCCCGCUGAGAGGCGGGAGUGCUCGAAAGAGAACCGGCGCACAGGUGCUGCAUGGCUGUCGUCAGCUCGUGUCGUGAGAUGUUGGGUUAAGUCCCGCAACGAGCGCAACCCUUGUCUUUAGUUGCUACGCAAGAGCACUCUAAGGAGACUGCCGGUGACAAACCGGAGGAAGGUGGGGAUGACGUCAAGUCCUCAUGGCCCUUAUGGGUAGGGCUUCACACGUCAUACAAUGGUCGGAACAGAGGGUUGCCAACCCGCGAGGGGGAGCUAAUCCCAGAAAACCGAUCGUAGUCCGGAUUGCACUCUGCAACUCGAGUGCAUGAAGCUGGUUCCUAGUAAUCGCGGAUCAGCAUGCCGCGGUGAAGAGAACCCAUGCCUUGUACACACCGC